GUACCGAAAUUGCUUCGACAGUACAUAUACUAAAAUUGGAAUGAUAAAGAGAAAUUAGCAUAGCACCUGCGCAAGGAUGAAACGAAAACAAGGGGAGCAGUGGCCUUGU
This is a small nuclear RNA of Ruditapes philippinarum (Manila clam), 109 nucleotides long. NCBI's taxonomy places the organism in Eukaryota, Metazoa, Mollusca, Bivalvia, Venerida, Veneridae. The record is from RefSeq and is a predicted model, not a curated record.